Long non-coding RNA from Heterocephalus glaber (naked mole-rat), 1526 nucleotides. RefSeq lists it as uncharacterized. The record is from RefSeq and is a predicted model, not a curated record. NCBI's taxonomy places the organism in Eukaryota, Metazoa, Chordata, Mammalia, Rodentia, Bathyergidae.
UUGGUUCCAUUUUGUCUGGUAGAGAACUCUAUCAGUUGGAAACUCUGUGUAACAUGGAGCAGAACUCUUUGGAUCAUCACAGACAUGGCAUACAAGGCUUGCUGCCUGGACUGAGUGAGGAACGGGAGGUGCUCUUCAGAGACUGCCUUGAAAAGUCUUGGGGAAGAGACAGACUCCAUCCCAAUACAUUCAUCUCGGCUAUAUAUUUUUGAAGACAACUUGUUUUAAUUAUUUACAGUUCUGAAGAUCGAACUCGGGACCUUGUGCUUGCAAGGCAGGAAAUGGCAUUACUCAGCUAAAUCUCCGCCCCAAUGAUGCUUUUCUUAAAAUGAGAACAAAUCCAAAUCUCAAGGUCUUAUCUUGUACUGAGACCAGUUUUUACAUUUCAAUGACCUAAGGACCUGGAAUGUUAAUGAUCUUACUGAACUGCUCCUGAAGAAUCCCCAUCAAUGGACCUGACUUCAGUUGGAUUGAUAGAUUACUUCUCACCACUCAGAAACCAGAAAUACAGAGACGAAGCAAUGAGCAGGAGGUUAGAGUAUAAUGGAUCCAAGUUUCACAAAGUGCAGGUUCACAGUAAAUCCACUUCAGAGAGGAAGGCUGGGGAAAACCCACCGAUGGGCCUCGAAAGCUGAGCGAUUCCUGAUAUGACGCACCGAGCUGCAGCAGUGCCACAAGAGCAUAACUGAAUCGCAUCCUGAGGAAACACCAGUCAAACUGAACUUAGGGACAUUCAGCGACGGUCCCGAGCCCUUCAAAGAUCUCCGUGUCACAAAACGCAGAGUCCCGGGAUCUGUUCCUAAUUAAAAGAUACUAACAAAACAGAACAACUGGCAGGAUUUUCUCUUGCUACGAGGACAUUUUGGGACAAACAACUGGGAAAUCUGAGCAAAAUGUGUAGAGUAUUUUAUGGCUGUUAAUUUCCUGAUUUCAGUGAUUGGACUGGGACGAGGCAAGAGAUUUCUUCAUGUUAGGAGACACACGCAGAAGGAGUUAGUGUAAAGGUGCAUCUGAUCCUCAUUGGACAAAUGGCUCAGACAAAAAAAAAAAAAUCUGGGAAGUGCCAAAUAAGGACUUCCUGUGUUUCCUUAUUUAUCUGCCGCUCAGUGGGCUUUGUGCAAAGGAUGGGUGGGAGUGAGGAGCAGCCUCCACACAGCUGUUCAGGGAUGUCUGCAAAAGCAGCCCACCCACAUUGCUUUUGGACACUGGGUGUGAUUUGGAGGGUAUCAGGUUUGUCUGUGAGGGAAACUGCCAGCCUCCUCCCUGGCCAACUGGUUUCUGUGUUUCCUUGCUGGCCCUCUGAAUAGAAAAGUCCUUUUCCUCAGGAUAUCCCCCAGAAGCAUCUUUUUCUUCACAGUGGAAUCUAAGACAUUAGUUUAACUACAGUUUUCUCUUUGAUGAAUUCUAGGACCUGCAAAAAUGUAGAGGUUAAAUCUGAUGAACCACAUGGCUAAGCUUACGAUGUAUUUGCUUUUUCAUUGAAUUAAAACAAAAAAUUGGUUGCUUUCCAGUACGCUUAAUUUCCA